RNAcentral lists this long non-coding RNA (5237 nucleotides) under Triticum aestivum (bread wheat). Its description in RNAcentral is "long non-coding RNA (TAES_LNC020624)". Lineage: Eukaryota; Viridiplantae; Streptophyta; Magnoliopsida; Poales; Poaceae. The record is from RNAcentral.
UGGUGACACAGUAGGUACGACUCCAAACCCCAAGUUAAUUACUUCCCUCCAGAACAUUGACAAAUCCUAGAGCAACCUGAACAAAAUGAAGAAACAAUUUUCUUCCUCUGACGGCCUGUGUGGACCAAAAGUGCCGGUGAUCUUUUUCUUCCUCCGAACUUAUGGUCUUUUUGAGUUAUAACUGAUGUAGACAUUUUCCGUUGAAGUAUUGCGGACUUUUGGGUAGUAGACGCACAACCUGAGAAGGCAAUGUACAAGUCCAUGUAAUAAGAACAACCAAGUUAAUGUAUAGUAACAUCAUAUGUUCAAAAAUAAAAAUAAAUAGAGUUCUGUACUGUUUUUGCUAUAACAACUAAGUUAAUGUAUGCCAUGGGGCUGGACUAGGACAGCGCUGCAAAUCCUGGAGUGGUGGAGAGGGAGCUCAUGUCACUACCAAGUCUAUUAGGGUACUAGAAAUUCAUGGAACAUAAGUUAGACCAAACUAAUUGAUUACAAGCACUCCUAUGAACUGAACUUAAAUUAGAAAUUGAGCUGAACUUAAACAGUGGAAACUUAGAGUAAACCAAUCAGUAAUUUUUUCUUUGUUGUUAUUAUACUUAUUUAUUGUUCAUCUCCGAACUUUCUCAGAUUCAAUAUAUGGCCUGCUAGAACCUUUUUAUUUUGAAACUCUUUCCUGAACAUCUCAGGUUCUUUUAACAUACAACACAUAUUUUUGUUGUCCUUUAUAUAGACAAAAAUGCAUAUAUUUCUAACAAAAUGAAGAUACUGGCACUUCUUUGAUGGUUGUAGUUCUAGACUUUUGCACUAACUGGUUUUCAGUUCAAUAUACAAAAGAACAACAUACUCCUAGGAUAUAUGUAAUACCUUCUCUAAUCUAAUGUAACAAAGUAAUUGUGACACAAAGGCAAAUAGGAAAUAGCAUGACACUUGAGCUAGUAAAAUUCAGGGCAUAGUGAAGGUUCUUCUGGGAGGUCAACAACGUGGAGCCACAACUGCACAAGAAAAUGGAAUAUCUGGUGCCUCAUAAGUAUCUGUACGGGUUUGUCUCUAUGCGAACAAAAUGGAUGGUACUGCUGAUUCAGUGACUAUCAUAAGUCUUUGCAUUUUACGUGGUUUCAAUUCAAUCAAAAAUGGAACAGCAUACUGCAUAUUAUGCCUGUACAUGUAAACAUUAGAAACUGGUUUUAUAGGAAACAUUUUCAUUAAAUGACCACUACUUUGAGCGGCUACUUGGAAGCGAAGUCAUCUUAUCAGUGGCUAAUGGGUUAGCAGAGCUUUUGAAGAAAAUGGAAGCAAAGGCUAGCUAGCACCUUCGCGAACCCCAUGGCAAGAUCAUUGGCGCUGAACCUGGAAAUGGGGUCAAAAAGGCUCAUGCCGCGCUCGGCGGCCGUCUAGCGCCCUGCCGGCGGCAUUGCCUUGUGGUUGGCCCACCACCCGGCUCGCCAACAAGCUUCGGUUCGGGCUAGAUUCAUCAAAGAUGUCAAGCUUAUAAGCACUGCAAGACAAUCAAGACUGAGAGAAUACAAUGAGCACCUUGUCAAAUUCUCAGGUCAGUGGUUGGUCCAAAAAAAUUAUGUGGUCAGUGCCUCCAUAGAAGUAACAACAUGCAAGCUUAGUUCUUAGGUACAAAUUUGUAAACACUAGUAGUGCUACCAGCAUUUAUAGAUGCUAGUGAACUUGAACUUGUGGUCUCUCGAGAUCUGAACUGAUUGUGUUACAAGCACACACACAAAAUCUAAGAAGCUGAUACAAGUACAUGUUAAAAAGAUAAUCAAGUUCAUGCAUAUUAAUUGGGAGAAGUUCAGAAAGAAACUUUUAAAAAUUUUGUAUUAAAAAGAUGCAUACUGCAUAACAUCUGUACUCACUAUGACGAUGUGUUUGUACUUCCCAAGGUGCCACAUGCCCACAUGUGUACUCACUAUGACGAUGUCUUUGUACUGCCCAUGGUGCCGCAUCUAUACCCACUAUAAUGAUGUGUUUGUACUGCCCAAAUACAUACGCGGGAGCACAAAAUAAACAUUUAAAAAAAUUGGUACUCACAGGAAUAGUGACAGAUACACAUGAAAAGCAACCAUCUAAACAUGUUCUUUUCGCAUCUUCCCAAAGUACUCAAUCAGCAGAACAACACAUGUAAGGAUUUUAAUAGCAGAAGCAGAGAAAUAGAGAGAUUAUUGUGAGAGAGUGUCGUAGCAGACAACCUGGAGAAGCGUUGUACAAGUCCUCUUUUUUUCUCGGCUUGCUAUAUGCAUCGGAAAAGUUCAUACACUAUUGUCUAGCAAGUACACAAGUCAUAUUCAACAACAACUGUACUCCAUAUUGAAUCAUCUUACCCUGUUCAGAAAAAUAGUGAUUCCUAAAUAUCCAUCAGGGAUUAAUUUUUAUGUAUGUACACUGCCAAUCCAGACUAGAUACUUCCAAAUCCUAAAAAACUUUAUUACAAUAGUCAGGAGCGAACUCAUACAUGUAUAUCUACUAAUAAACACCAACAAGCAAUUACAACAGCAGAGAUAUAAUCUAAAACUCAUGGCAUAUAUCUUUGUAUUCAUCAAGUUGAAAUCAACAAAGUUUAGAAUUUCCAAACACUAAAGGGCAAAAAAUGGCGAAAAUAGUCUCAAGAUUUACGGUCUAUGUCCACCGAGAGUUUUGUUGUUAAUAAUACUAAUAGAAGCUUUUCCAACAAAGCAUUCUCUAAUGCAAAUCUUCCUAGCAACCUCACCCAAUGACAUUUAUGCAUUAGCUCUGGUUUGAUUUGAAACUAAAUUAAAUGAAAUUUGAGAAAAGCUGUUAGGAGGAAAGGAAACCAUUUUCCAAACAAGAAAAAUAAACAAGUACAAGCAUGUGUAUAGCAAGAGGAGUUGUUAGCAUGUUUAUGUGCAUGCGUAUGUUUGUUCAGUACACCAUGUGAUGCAAGUACCAACUCUUUUUCUCUCUGAAACAAGCAAGAUUCACACAAAUAUCCUGCAUUUCUAGCAUUCUGAGAACUAAAAUAAGAAUUGCACUGAAACUAAAGCUCGACCACGACUGUGCGUGCCGAGGGGCAGCAAACGAUGGUGGUGGCGGCACGCGUGGGCUGCUUUCGACAUGUCCACAUUACCACAAAGAAGUAAAAGACACUCAAAUUUUAGGAUUUUUUUAAAACAUUCUGCACACAACAUUUGAACAAAACAAGAACACCAAAGCUUUUUUCUUACAAUGCUUGUGGUCACCGUGAGCAUGCAACAAGCAGGAUCAGGCUCUCGGUGGCGCAAGCAUCGGAUCCCCGUUAGAGAAAGAUUACUUGCUGAAAGCCACCAUAUUUUCCUACAGUAAGACAAAGGAAAGAUAAUACAUAAAGCUCAUUAAUGAAAGAAUCAGCAGUCACAUUUUAAACGAAAACUUGUUACCAAAACUGAAAGCCACAAUUUUUUUCAAACUUCUGGGUGAGAGCAUGGUGCUUCAAGAUAUGGUUGCAAUUUUUUAAUUUGAUGCGUGUUGCAUUAUAGAACUGCUAUGGUUUUGCAAGUUGAACUUUUGGUAGUUUUUAAAUUUUUGCAUAGUGUACUGUCAAAAUCUUUACCACACAAAGAACACAUCUGCAUUACCACAUGGGACGGCGAGACCGACGCACACCUGGUGGAGGUCGCUGGAACUGGAUAGGGGUUGGGGGAGGAGACAUGGUGGAGAGGCGACGACGGUUGAUGAAACCGAGGCAGCGGAUCCUACCAGGAGGCGACCUGGCGAGACACGCUCCGGGGAGCCUGUCGGGCCGGGAUCCCGUAGUGGAGACAAGGAGCCAUGGUCGGGCAGGGCGGCAUGCUGGGGUAGAUAGGGCAAUGAUCAAAUAUCUGAAGAUUAUCCUUCAUUUUCAAAGCAAUGGAAGUUUUUGUUUCUCAAAACUAAAUGCAAUAUAAACUAACAGAAAACUAAGCAUAGAAGAUCUCCAGAACUUUGCAAAAUACCAUAUGUAACAUCCCUCAUGUCAAUUUUUAUAAAGGACUUACACGAAACAUGGAGAGUUCUUACUAUAGUUGAGUUACCAGGGGACUACAUAAGUUAAAUAUAUGGGGGAAGUCAGCAAUAUAAUGAUAGGUUAAAGGUUCAAAGACUGGUGAUUUUACAGGGCCUCUCAAGUCUGAACUGAUAUGAACUCCUUUUUGCCGAGCUACUGAUUUUUUAUAUAUAGCCAGCUAUUUUUUUAAACACACACAUUGAACCAUUUCUGGGGUUCUUGAUGAGCUGAUGAUAGAAAAACAUGUUGAACUGAACUUUAGGUUUCAAGAACAACCGAAUGUUUUUGGGUUCUUCUAUGUACCUUCUUGUUAUCUUUAUUCUGAACUCCAAGUCACAAUUACAAUCACAAUAUACACAUGUACUACAAAACAAUGUGCAUUUGUACUGUCCAUAAUACCGAAUUAACCAAAAACAAAUAAUUUAUGAAGGAAACAAUUUUUGAAUGUGGUUUGAGCUUUGUUUCUUCAGAUUUUUGAACUUGUGCAGUAUGUAUACCUGAACUUGUGUGAAUGACAAAAUAACACAUAGUUUUUUUAUGCUUUUUAAGAUGAAUUUAAAAAACAUAAAAUGGUGAACCUCCAGGGGUGUCGGUUUGGUGUUUGAAAUGUAAGAUGAUCUCCAAAACACACACAAAGGUGAACUGAAAAUUUUGGUUUUUUAUGUAUAAAAAUACAAAAACAUCUAUGGAUUUCACUCUUCAAAAUGGGUUCAAGCACCGCUUCUAAGCAAUACAUCCGAGCUAGCGUCCAUUCAUCCAACCCUCUCUGUUUCAUCACUUAACACGAGCCAACACGUACCUCGGCAUCGACAUCUUGUACAGGUGAACGGACAGGGAUGGUUGCUGUGAACAGACAGGGGUGGUGGUUGUGUACUGGCCGUGGUGAGGUUGCGUGGAUGGAGAGGCGGUGGCCGUGGCGAACUGACGAUGUGAUGAAAUGACAAACUAAUAUGCUCAUAAAUAGAUUCGUCGAUUACCAGAGAGAGAGGAGGCGAACUCGAGGACGGCCAGAGCUGGUCCAGGGAGGUGGGAGGUCCAAGGUGGGAGGGGAAGCAGUCCGGAGGUGGUGAAUCAGGGCGGCGGUGGAGGGGAAAUCGGUGCCGUGGCCAUGGAAGCAGAGGCGACGCCGACACACUGGUGGAAGGGGGAUCGGGGCGGCGGCGGGGCGCUGUUAGGAUGGGGCUAGGGGCCGGCGACGGGGCGCUGCUUGGAAGGGGCUCGGGGCGGGCGACAGCGCGAUGGUGGGANN